UCACGCACAGGGCAAACCAGACUGAAAAGCUGGGACGCAAAGCCACCGGCCUAAACAUCAUUGUCAUCGACAAUAUGCAUGGUAGCGGGGUUGCCGAU
This 98-nucleotide non-coding RNA is filed under the name Vibrio ponticus. RNAcentral's name for it is "c-di-GMP sequence". It matches the Rfam family "c-di-GMP-I riboswitch aptamer". From Rfam's summary of the family: GEMM was predicted in a large-scale screen for bacterial structured RNA regulatory elements. Genes associated with GEMM are involved in a diverse array of functions, including chemotaxis regulation, signal transduction, secretion and chitin. Lineage: Bacteria; Pseudomonadati; Pseudomonadota; Gammaproteobacteria; Vibrionales; Vibrionaceae. The record is from RNAcentral.